UACGAAGGGGGGCUAGCGUUGCUCGGAAUGACUGGGCGUAAAGGGCGCGUAGGCGGAUGGCACAGUCAGAUGUGAAAUUCCCGGGCUUAACCUGGGGGGCUGCAUUUGAUACGUGUUGUCUAGAGUGAGGAAGAGGGUUGUGGAAUUCCCAGUGUAGAGGUGAAAUUCGUAGAUAUUGGGAAGAACACCGGUGGCGAAGGCGGCUCACUGGCCCGGUACUGACGCUGAGGUGCGAAAGCGUGGGGAGCAAACAGG
RNAcentral lists this ribosomal RNA (255 nucleotides) under uncultured bacterium. RNAcentral describes it as "partial 16S ribosomal RNA". It matches the Rfam family "Bacterial small subunit ribosomal RNA", at positions 524 to 776 of the family's 1533-position model. The record is from RNAcentral.